CUCAACCAGGGAAGGAAAAUAAUCAAGACAUUCUGAUAGUCUGAAGAGAGGAAUGUAAAUGAAAAAGUAAAAUAUUUUUCGAGCAACAGCCUGAACUACUCAGCCAAGAAGUGAUCCAGUGACAACACUUUAUGUAUGGCUAAAGACAUAUGCACAGUUUCUCUGGGUUUCCAUAAUAAGCAAUUUCAGCACAUAAGCUGCGUUUCUCCCUGGUCAAAGUUUCCAUCUGCAGCUUACUUUCAGAAGCUGGAAGACAAGCAGUUGUUCUGCAAGGAAGGGCUGUCGACGUCAAAGCUGUUUGAGGUAGGUCUGGAGUGCAGCUUGAGAUUAAAACUUCCCUUAUACUUUGAUCCUUUUGAGAAAAGUUGUAGUUAGACAAAAGGCAGUUGAUUAUUUUAUGUGGUUAUAGAAGUGUUUGGUUU
This is a long non-coding RNA of Tyto alba (common barn owl), 422 nucleotides long. RefSeq lists it as uncharacterized. NCBI's taxonomy places the organism in Eukaryota, Metazoa, Chordata, Aves, Strigiformes, Tytonidae. The transcript is spliced from 3 exons. The record is from RefSeq and is a predicted model, not a curated record.